Molecule: ribosomal RNA, 253 nt
Filed under: uncultured bacterium
Lineage: Bacteria
Description: partial 16S ribosomal RNA
Rfam family: Bacterial small subunit ribosomal RNA
Source: RNAcentral
UACGUAGGAUGCAAGCGUUGUCCGGAAUUAUUGGGCGUAAAGAGCGCGCAGGCGGUAACUCAAGUCAGAUGUGAAAUAUCCGGGCUUAACCCGGAGGGGUCAUUUGAAACUGAGUAACUAGAGUACAGCAGAGGAUAGCGGAAUUCCCGGUGUAGUGGUGAAAUGCGUAGAUAUCGGGAGGAACACCAGUGGCGAAGGCGGCUAUCUGGACCGGAACUGACGCUGAGGCGCGAAAGCGUGGGGAGCAAACAGG